AUUGAACGCUAGCGGGAUGCUUUACACAUGCAAGUCGAACGGCAGCGCGGACUUCGGUCUGGCGGCGAGUGGCGAACGGGUGAGUAAUGUAUCGGAACGUGCCCAGUAGCGGGGGAUAACUACGCGAAAGCGUAGCUAAUACCGCAUACGCCCUACGGGGGAAAGCAGGGGAUCGUAAGACCUUGCACUAUUGGAGCGGCCGAUAUCGGAUUAGCUAGUUGGUGAGGUAACGGCUCACCAAGGCGACGAUCCGUAGCUGGUUUGAGAGGACGACCAGCCACACUGGGACUGAGACACGGCCCAGACUCCUACGGGAGGCAGCAGUGGAGAAUUUUGGACAAUGGGGGCAACCCUGAUCCAGCCAUCCCGCGUGUGCGAUGAAGGCCUUCGGGUUGUAAAGCACUUUUGGCAGGAAAGAAACGUCGCGGGCUAAUACCCCGUGGAACUGACGGUACCUGCAGAAUAAGCACCGGCUAACUACGU
This 483-nucleotide ribosomal RNA is filed under the name uncultured bacterium. RNAcentral's name for it is "partial 16S ribosomal RNA". It matches the Rfam family "Bacterial small subunit ribosomal RNA", at positions 30 to 506 of the family's 1533-position model. The record is from RNAcentral.